CAGCAGUGUCAUAAGAGAGAGAUGGAUGAUCUGGAUAAAGGAAUGUGGUGAAAGAAGUUUAAACUAUGCCAUGAAGAACCAUCAUUUGCCACUUGAUCCAAAUGAAUGCUGAAUGUAAACAGCGAAACUUAAUAUUCAACAUUCACCCUAUUUUGGAGCAGCAGAAGCACCUCAUUAAAAAAAUUUCUGACAUGUCAGUGAGGAAUGAAUUGUCAUGCAGUGUGGUACUGCACAGACAUAACAAGCAACUCCCUGCUGGUGUAACGCAUGGAAGAUGAUACAUAGAAUGAGACAAACAAUAACUCCUUAGGGAAUAAGAUACUUCAGGCUUGAUCCUGAGGCGGUGUUAGAGUCAUAUAUCUCCACUGAAUGAAACGGAACUCAACAGAUUUACAGCAGUCUGGGUGCCAGCUCUUCCUCAUUAGUGACCUGAGAUGAUACUCUCUCCAUUAAAACUUUUUCCUCUGCUGCUUAAUAAAAUUACUCUGCCUGCUAUGUCGAGUUUCUCCAUUGUUAGCUGUCUGCUGCUGAGACUUACCUUUCUGCUUAGAGUGGUACUCUACCCUUCU
This 569-nucleotide long non-coding RNA is filed under the name Gallus gallus (chicken). RNAcentral's name for it is "long non-coding RNA NONGGAT011955". The record is from RNAcentral. Lineage: Eukaryota; Metazoa; Chordata; Aves; Galliformes; Phasianidae.